Molecule: ribosomal RNA, 393 nt
Filed under: uncultured bacterium
Lineage: Bacteria
Description: bacterial SSU rRNA
Rfam family: Bacterial small subunit ribosomal RNA
Source: RNAcentral
UCUGGGCGUAAAGCGUGCGCAGGCGGUUUUGUAAGUCUGACGUGAAAGCCCCGGGCUCAACCUGGGAAUUGCGUUGGAGACUGCAAGGCUUGAAUCUGGCAGAGGGGGGUAGAAUUCCACGUGUAGCAGUGAAAUGCGUAGAGAUGUGGAGGAACACCGAUGGCGAAGGCAGCCCCCUGGGUCAAGAUUGACGCUCAUGCACGAAAGCGUGGGGAGCAAACAGGAUUAGAUACCCUGGUAGUCCACGCCCUAAACGAUGUCUACUAGUUGUCGGGUUUUAAUUAACUUGGUAACGCAGCUAACGCGUGAAGUAGACCGCCUGGGGAGUACGGUCGCGAGAUUAAAACUCAAAGGAAUUGACGGGGACCCGCACAAGCGGUGGAUGAUGUGGAU